Passer domesticus (house sparrow) is the source of this 447-nucleotide long non-coding RNA. RefSeq lists it as uncharacterized. Lineage: Eukaryota; Metazoa; Chordata; Aves; Passeriformes; Passeridae. The record is from RefSeq and is a predicted model, not a curated record. The transcript is spliced from 3 exons.
UCACAGCUGCUGGUCAAAGGACUGUAAGUCUAACAUUUAUCAUCCUAACACUUUCUGAAUAGUGAUCUCAGAGAGACCUUCCUCAGUUGUGAACUUUGCAGUGCGAUUUCUCCCUGUCGAGAUGGAAGCAAAUUUAUACUGAAAAUCUAAUUUCAAUUUCUGUUAAAGUUGUAAAAGGAACUUCUAGAAGAGGAGUCAGGAAAGUGGAUCAUACUAUCUCCACUCACAUAAAAUGGCAACUGCUAUGAAAUACCAUUACCCCUCAGGCAAUAUCCCAUGGCCAUGACAUCCACAACUGAGGAAAAUAAUAAUCCUCAUAUGGACCCUGGUGUCCAGCCUGGCACUAAGCUAAAGAAUGAAAGCAGCCAGCCAAGCUGUCCUCCCAGUGAGGAGAGGCAGCUAACUCCUCUGAGCAUCUGUCUAAGACACCAGACUGCCAAAAUAAAC